Molecule: ribosomal RNA, 622 nt
Filed under: uncultured bacterium
Lineage: Bacteria
Description: bacterial SSU rRNA
Rfam family: Bacterial small subunit ribosomal RNA (bases 1-531)
Source: RNAcentral
CCUACGGGAGGCAGCAGUAAGGAAUAUUGGACAAUGGUGGCAACACUGAUCCAGCCAUGCCGCGUGCAGGAUGACGGUUCUAUGAAUUGUAAACUGCUUUUAUACGGGAAAAACCCUCAAGACGUGAUUUUGAGCUGAUUGUACCGUAAGAAUAAGGAUCGGCUAACUUCGUGCCAGCAGCCGCGGUAAGACGAAGGAUCCAAGCGUUAUCCGGAUUUAUUGGGUUUAAAGGGUGCGUAGGCGGACUCAUAAGUCAGUGGUGAAAUCCCAAAGCUUAACUUUGGAACUGCCAUUGAUACUGUAAGUCUUGAGUAUGUUUGAAGUGGGCGGAAUGUAUUGUGUAGCGGUGAAAUGCUUAGAUAUAAUACAGAACACCAAUUGCGAAGGCAGCUCACUAAACCAUAACUGACGCUGAGGCACGAAAGCAUGGGGAGCAAACAGGAUUAGAUACCCUGGUAGUCCAUGCCCUAAACGAUGAAUACUCGAUAUGUGCGAUAUACAGUACGUGUCUAAGCGAAAGNAUAUAUCACGNGGAGACGCGUCGCGAGAGUAGAACGUACGAAGAAGUUAGUACGGACGUUGAGACGAGCCGACGGACGACGACGACGGGGAGGGUAGGGAG